GUUUUUAUUACAAUAUUUAUUGCUUCCACUUCAGGUCAGAUACCCAUAUGCUCUGUAUGCAGUAGAGCAGUUUCAAGAGAUAAAAUUGUAAUCAUGUGCUGCAAAGUUGCCACCAGUUAUUGCAUCAGGUGAAAUCACAGGACUUAGAGGUGAACUUUUGAACUGGCUGUCAAGUGGCAUAACAGAUAACUUGCCUUUUCUGAAAGAAGAAUCAGCAAAUGUUUAUUCCCUCCAAUGUUUAUUCCCUCCAGUGCUGCUCUGUUAACCCCUUUCACCUGUUCCCUCUGUCCACUGCACCUUGCCCUGAGUGGAGUGAUGCCCUUCACUGGAGAGAGAAGCAGCAGUAAACCUUGUUAACAUAAAAUGACGAGUUAACAAAAUCAAAUGGGGAAUGUGACAGUGCUUUAACAAGGUACACUUGACUAUUUAC
Zonotrichia leucophrys gambelii is the source of this 430-nucleotide long non-coding RNA. RefSeq lists it as uncharacterized. The record is from RefSeq and is a predicted model, not a curated record. The transcript is spliced from 3 exons. NCBI's taxonomy places the organism in Eukaryota, Metazoa, Chordata, Aves, Passeriformes, Passerellidae.